Molecule: long non-coding RNA, 6738 nt
Organism: Hirundo rustica (Barn swallow)
Lineage: Eukaryota; Metazoa; Chordata; Aves; Passeriformes; Hirundinidae
Exons: 3
Source: RefSeq, a predicted model, not a curated record
GCCGACGGAGGGGACCGCCUCAGCUCUGCCGUGGGAGGCGCCGCAGCCGCUCCGCAGACCCAAUUGGGGGUCACGAACGCAUGGUCCGCGGCAAUUCCGCCGGAUACCCCACGGGUCUGGCUUCCGCCGGACACCCCCUGCCCUGACCUUGGAGCAGUUCCGGUCCUCGACCCCACUCCUUACCCUUCAGAGGUUCAGACCCCCGCGCUAACUUCGACUUUUCUCCUCUUUUCCUUGGAGGACCUAAUCUGUGAGGUGGAUUCGGCUCUCAUAUCUGCCCUUCUUCCUUUUGUAAAUACCCUUCUUUAUGAUACGGGUGUGAUAAACAUUAACUAUUUUUUGUUCACUGGAGAUCAAAUAACUCAAGAUAACAGGAAGUUACUAUGUUACUAUCUAAGCUUAUAGGCAAACAUACCCUUGCCCGUUCCGUUUUUUCUCUCUCUACUUGCUUAAUCAGCUUUAAGUUUCAGGAAUUCCAGCUUAGUUACCAUAUAUAGAAGAGGACAACUACAGCCUUCAUCUCUGCGACCACCGAGGGACAGAAAGAGACCCUCCCAGCAACACGUCACACAUACAUCAUCGGAGGAAAGAAGCAAGAUAAAAGCAAGACUGAAAAACCUGCCAAUUCACGGCAGUUGGCGGAGCGAGACUCCCCUGCCGUCCAGCGCUGUAUUUGCCUUUGCUUUGCCUGCUGCAAUGUAAUAAAUUCCUAUUGGAACUUUUCUUCGUGUUCAUAGUCUAUUACAAUUUGGUGCCGUGACUCGGAUCCACCUGCAAGAUAGGACUUUUGGUUCUGCCUGGGGGGCGCCCCGCCGAUCAGUCGGCGGCCCUGGUAGACCCGAUUCCUGUCUCGGUUGGACCGACGAACCUAAAUUCAAAGCAUUAGGCAAAGGAAGCCGGCAGACCCUAUAAACUUUGUGCACAAAGGUCCGGACGAAGACGCAAGACGCGUGAGUAUCUGUGUGGAAGAUUCCGUUCGGUCUGGGUUGGGUAUCCUGGAGUGCUGCGAGUGUGUGUGUGUGUGAGAGGAGAACCGGCAGCUCGGAUUUUCCAAGCGAUUGUGGACCCUCAGUAGUGCGGUUCUCAUUGUCCGAGAGGGCGUGAGCCACGAACAAGGGGAAGCGAGUGAUUUCUGCACCACACUUGUGUGAGGGCACUCCAGAAGAUGGGACAGGGGAAGAGCAGGCCCUCUACUCCCAUAAAACUCCCCCCGGUGCCUAGAGAUAGCCCACUGGGGUUCAUAUUAGACAAUUGGAAACAUUACCCUAACACAGGGGGUAAAGAUAAAGCUAAAAUGAUCCAUUAUUGUGUAGUAGUAUGGGGUGGAAAGGAGAUUUCCUGGAAUAUUUUUUAGCCUAUUUUUGGAUCAUCAGAAGAUUGGGUGAGGCAAAAACUCAACUUGUGGGUAAACACUAAAAUUCCUUUUAGUCAGGAAGAAAGUGAAUAUGCUAAUGUAUGGGUUACAAGACCUGGGAGUGAAGUGCUCCUGUUUCCCCUCAAAGAGGGAGGACGAAAGAAAGACAGGAGUAAAGAGGAAGAAGCCUUACUAAUCCCACCUCCUUACAUACCCCCUCAGAACCCCCAGAUUCUGGAUGCACCUCCAAUGGAGCCUCAAGAAGCAAUAAGUAAUCCCGAGCCCCCCGAGGAAGUGCAGGGACCCAUAACCCGAGGUCGGGCUAGACAGCAUAACCUAUAUCCCCUAAGAGAAAUGCCUGUGGGGGGGGGCCAGGGACCUCACCCAGCGAUAGGGUUUGUUUCAGUACCUUUGAGUUCUGGGGAUGUUCGGGAAUUUAAGAGGGAGAUGGGGAGCCUCCUGGAAGAUCCUUUGGGGGUGGCCGAGAGACUGGACCAAUUUUUGGGACCCAGUAUUUAUACUUGGGGCGAGUUGCAAGCCAUAUUGAAUAUUCUUUUCACGGCCGAGGAAAGAAAUAUGAUUAGACGAGCGAGGAUGCAGAUAUGGGAUUCACAACAUGCACAAGGACCUUUAGCAGACACCAAGUGGCCUUUGCAGGAUCCCAAUUAGAAUCAUCAGCAGCAGGAUCACAGAAUCAAUAUGCAGGAUCUGAGGGGGAUAAUAGUACAGGGGAUCCGGGAAGCGGUGCCUAGGGGGCAGAACAUCAACAAAGCAUUUAAUGAGAGACAGAAAAAGGAGGAGACACCUACGGAUUGGCUAGAACGCUUGAGAAAAAACCUGCAGAUGUACUCUGGCUUAGAUCCUGAGACACCGUUAGAGCAAGCACUACUAAAAACACAAUUUGUGGCUAAAUCGUGGGAAGAUAUCAGAAAGAAGUUAGAAAAAUUAGAUAAUUGGCAAGAUAGAGACCUAGAUGAACUAUUGAAGGAAGCACAGAAGGUAUGUGUGAGAAGAGAUGAAGAGAGUCACAAGAGACAAGUAAGAAUGAUGGUGGCAGCAGUAAGGGAAACUAGGAGAAUUGAUGCCCCUCCCAAAACAAGUCAAGUGGCCCAGAGAAAUGGGGGAGGGGUUCCCCGGGUAGAGAAAAAGGAUGGAGGCGUAUGUUUCUACUGUGGAAAUAAAGGACACUUUUGGAGAAACUGCAGGAAGCGGCUGAGGGAUGAGAGAGUCUUCAAAGAGGACUGAAGGAGUCAGGGGCUUCAUUUGCUGGGGACAUGAAAACAUCAGGAGCCCUUGAUAAAAUUAAAAGUAGGUCCUCAGCAGCAAGAAUUUGAGUUUUUAGUAGAUACUGGAUCUGAGCGAUCGACAGUCCAGGUACUACCGGAGGGAUGUAAGAUAUCAAAGGAAACUGCUCAAGUGGUAGGGGCGAAGGGGGAGCCCUUUGAAGUCCCUGUUAUUAAGAAUGUACUGGUGGAAUCGAGGUCCAAAAUGGGAAUAGGGAACCUUCUGCUGGUACCAGAAGCAGAUUAUAAUUUGUUAGGGAGAGACUUAAUUAUAGAAAUGGGUAUUAAUAUAGAAGUAGUAAAUGAGGAAAUCAAACUCUGUCCCUUGAGGGUAGAGGAUGAAGAAAAAAUUAACUCAGAAGUAUAGUACACUCCUGAUAGUGUAGGAAGGUUGAAUAUACCCCCCUUCUCGGUAAUCAUUAAAGAUCCAGAGACACCGAUAAGGGUUAAACAGUACCCCAUCUCCCCAGAGGGGGAUAGGUUGUUUGUAAAUGUCUCAUCGUGAGUAAUUAAUAAAAAAAGGGUCUCUGGCUAUGCAAUAGUUAGGGGAGAAGGACUUGCAGUUAUCGAAUCAGGCCCUCUAAGUGGAUCUUGGUUGGCGCAGGCCUGUGAACUUUAUGCUGUACUGCGGGCAUUGCAGUUGUUGAAGGAUAAAUCAGGUACCAUCUAUACUGACUCAAAAUAUGCCUAUGGGAUUAUACACACUUUUGGGAAAAUAUGGGAAGAACGGGGGUUGAUAAACUCCCAGGGAAAAAAAAAAAAAACAAAAACAAAAACAAAAACAAACAAAAAAAAAAACAAAAAAAAACAAAAAAAAACCAACCUGUUUCACCAGGAUCUAAUCAGGAAACUGCUGAAGGCCUUGAGGGGACCUAGGAAAAUUGCUGUUGUUCACCUGAAAGGGCAUCAAAAGGGAUUGGAUUUUAAAAGCAGGGGAAAUAAUGCAGCAGAUCAGGAAGCAAGAAGGGCUGCUUUGCAGACGUCACAAUCUACCCCCCAGAAAGAUCCGAAGGCUGAAAGAAAAGAGCGUGAAAAUAGCAGAGGGAAUUUGCAAAAGAUAUAUAGUUUUACUAUGCAGGAAAAAGAAAAGAUAAAAAGAAUGGGGUUGAGAGAAGACCCAGAAGGGGAAUGGCGACUUCCAGAGGAUAAUAGAACUGUACUGCCUAAAUCCAUAGCUAUGGAUAUUAUGAGGAGAAUACAUAGCAAAACACAUUGGGGGGCACAAGCAUUAGUAGAUCAAUUCGCCACCAAACAUAUGUGUAUUGAGGCAGAUGACUUGGCAAAGCAGGUAGUGAGGGAGUGCGUUACCUGCCUAAAAGUAAAUAGGGCCAAUUUAAGAAAAACCUUAAUGGGGAGACGACCUACAGCAUACCGGCCAUUUGCUAACAUCCAACUAUGGAAAAAGGGAAAGUUAGCUCAGAGACCCCCACUAGAUUUGAAACUGCACCAGGUGCAACCAGGAGAUUAGGUAAUGAUAAAGUCCUAGAAAAAAGCAACCUUAGCCCCACAAUGGGAGGGCCCUUACCUUGUAUUGCUUACUACAGAUACUGCAGUCAGAACAGCAGAGAAGGGAUAGACCCAUGCUAGCAGAAUUAAAAAGCCAGUGAGCAAACCGACUCCUGAGUGGCAGGUGACAAGCAAUCCCAGAGACCUGAAGUUACAGAUCCAGAGGAGAGAUCAUCAAUGAAUAAACACCGUGUAGAAUAUGCACCAGAACCACACUACACGGAGGAAAGAUUAAUUUGUAACUCUGAUGUUAAGAUAAGGUGUAGAGACCCAGAGUGCAAUUGUUAUCCUUUUGUUUGUUAUAUUUGUAAAAUCUGCAGGGACAGGUGGUGGAGUCAUUGUAGGUGAGGAACCCCUCCUAGAGGAAUUUGCAGCCCCUGUUGGGUACUGCAGCGGAACAUAACUGAUUGGAUUCUAGAAUAUAAAGUUAAAUAUGAGGGAUUAGUAGAAGAAUCAGAAGAGUGGUGGAGGAUUUUUUUUGCAUUAGGGAUUGAACCAAAAUAUUAUUGUUAUCACCCUAAUGAACCCAUCCCAUUCAUAGCUGAAAUUGUUGACUGCACCUGCCGCACACGCCUAAAGGGAAUCCGGUGUGAUACACCCCCGGUUAAGUAUCGGAACUAGGAUUCCUAUGUCAAGAGGCAACAGAGUCGCCCCCGGGGACCUCCUGAAGAAUAUCCCUGCUGCCGAGAAGAUAGUACCCCCCGUGGCUCGAGGCAACCGAGUUGACGGGAAAGGCAGAGGGGUAAAAAGCUGUGGAGGAAAGAAACCCCAGGGGUGGGACAACAAAACAAUAUUUGAGGAAUUGCCUCAGGAAUGGGAAUUAGAGCAAGGACCCUGGGCAGAGAGACAGGUUGCAGUCUAUAAAAUGGAACAAUCCUCAAAUAUACUCCCAUUCCUAUGCCCCCAAUGAUGCUCACCACGUGACCCAGCCGAUUACUUUUCUUUUGCUGAUGUUAUACUUAAGAGGGAUUAAUGCCUUAGACAAUCUACCACACCAACCCUUUAAAUGGUCACUAUGGCGAUGGGAUGACAAUGAGAUUUUGCAAACUGUAACUACUGUAGGAGCACCCAGUUUCAGAGUAGGAUUGUGUGAUCUGACCAACAUAGAUCAUUGUAGAAAAGUACUAAACCUAACAGGAUUUUACAUGUGCCCAAGCUCAAAUCACAGUAAAAGAUAUUGUAAUUAUCCUGGGGAAUAUUUUUGUGGAUAUUGGGGCUGUGAAACAAUCGCCUCUAACUGGACACCCAGGGGAGGGCAUAAUAAAUAUUUGCAAGCAGACUUUAGACCAUGUAUAUUUAAUAAACUGAUUACUAUAGUGGAAAGCCGGCUGGAAGCGGCACAUCUUAUGCUUCUUAAGACUAAGUAUGAUCAGAUACCUGAAGAAAAAAAUUUAGAAACUUUAGAGUUAGCUAGACAAGAACUGCAAAGAUACAGUGAACAAAAAUAAGUAAGAACAAGAGAAAUGGGGGAAUUGUGAUAAACAUUAACUAUUUUUUGUUCACUGGAGAUCAAAUAACUCAAGAUAACAGGAAGUUACUAUGUUACUAUCUAAGCUUAUAGGCAAACAGACCCUUGCCCGUUCCGUUUUUUCUCUCUCUACUUGCUUAAUCAGCUUUAAGUUUCAGGAAUUCCAGCUUAGUUACCAUAUAUAGAAGAGGACAACUACAGCCUUCAUCUCUGCGACCACCGAGGGACAGAAAGAGACCCUCCCAGCAACACGUCACACAUACAUCAUCGGAGGAAAGAAGCAAGAUAAAAGCAAGACUGAAAAACCUGCCAAUUCACGGCAGUUGGCGGAGCGAGACUCCCCUGCCGUCCAGCGCUGUAUUUGCCUUUGCUUUGCCUGCUGCAAUGUAAUAAAUUCCUAUUGGAACUUUUCUUCGUGUUCAUAGUCUAUUACACGGGGAGCCUAAGCAGGGUCCAAAACUAUUUCGAUUCAAGUUUUAGAGACAGAGAAGGACAGAGUGGAGUCCCGGCACGGUUACACCCAGGGGAGAAACCAAGAAGUUGUAGAGUUUAUUUUCCAAAGGAUAGAUAUCAUAUAAAACCUUUAGUAACAUUAAACGUUGGCCCUAAAGAAGAAGUCCUGCAAUUUUUAGUUGAUCUUGGGACAGAAAAAACCUGCAUCACGGAAAAACUAAAAGGAUGAAAAGUAUUGCUAACAACUGAAGCUGCAGUAUUGCUGACAACUGAAGCUGCAAAUAUGGAUCAACGCCAUCAAAGAUCAAGAAACCUGUGAAAGGACAUAAGAAUGAACUAAAACAUCUGUACCAGGGAGCACGGAUCGGGCGGCUGCUGGCUGCCUGGAGUCCACGGUUAACGGAGGAGUCUGGUCCUGGGAAUUCUACCAUCUGUUGGAGUGCCCAGGAAUUCGAAGUUUUCUUCGCUGUCCUGCUGGAUUUUGGGUCAGCCCGGGUCCAGCCGCUGCGGCUUCUCCGGCACUGCCAAUUUUGCCUGCCAGGACACCCCCCUGCCUGCGGAGGACAGGCCACCAUGCCCGGCUUCCAGCCAUCAGCGCUGGAGCUUCCACCGUUUGCCCUCGGGGUUCUUGGUUCUGUUUUACUAUUAUUAUAAUUGCUGUUGGGUUUUUUUGU